Molecule: ribosomal RNA, 253 nt
Filed under: uncultured bacterium
Lineage: Bacteria
Description: partial 16S ribosomal RNA
Rfam family: Bacterial small subunit ribosomal RNA
Source: RNAcentral
UACGUAGGAGGCAAGCGUUGUCCGGAAUUACUGGGUGUAAAGCGCGUGUAGGCGGCAGGCCAAGUCUGUGGUGAAAUCGCUCGGCUCAACUGGGCGGGGUCCAUGGAAACUGGUCAGCUGGAGGACGGUAGAGGUGAGUGGAAUUCCCGGUGUAGUGGUGAAAUGCGUAGAGAUCGGGAGGAACACCGGUGGCGAAGGCGGCGACCUGGGUCGAGACUGACGCUGAGGCGCGAAAGCGUGGGGAGCAAACAGG